CAGCAUAACCAUACUUCCUAAAAUUCGCCAACUCAUCAGCAUAUACAGUAUCCCAAUAACUUUGAAAACCCAGAAAUGAUGAAAUCAGCUUCAGCAUCUAGCUUCUCCUCGUUAGAAUUGCUCAUUGCAAGAAGGAAAUUUCACAAAUUUCGGAUAAUUGCUGAUAGCUAGAAUUUUGGCAACUAUAAUUCCUUUAAACAAAUUGUAUUAGUGUUGUGGUUGAAGGGCAUCACUUCCAAACACAAGAAAUUAAUACUGAUUGGUUCAUUAUAAGAACUUCUCUCUACUGUUUAUUCUGUAAAUUAUCAACUUGUUGAUAAAAAGUAAACUUUGUCCUUAUUAAAUUGUUAUACUGUAACAACUAAUACAAUUUUAAAUGCUAGCAAUACAAACUAUGCAUUAAAAAUUAAUAAAACACAUAGGCUGACAUAAAAUAAAAGCAUAGAUUAUCAUAGNUACACAUGACAAAUAAAGUAAAAUCAAGUCCGCACAUUACAUUAACUCUUGCUAAUUACGAGGUGUCCAUUUUCUUCCGCACUUUUCUCUUGAAGGAUCAUUGAUUUCUUAACGAAAAACCACAAAAUUGAGAGGAUUAGUGAAGUAACAAAGAGGACUUCUAUUUUGAGGUCGUCACACCACCCCCCAACAAACCCUCACCCAAAACAAAAGAAAAAGAGUACAGCUGAUGCCCAAAAAUGCAGCAUACCUCAUCUAUAAAUCCAAGGUAAUUAAUAGUAUUUCCUCAAAUAUAACAUUUUGGCAUUUUCCAAAAUCUAUCCCUAUCCUACAACUAUCGUAUACAAAGCAUACCUCAUAAAAUACCUUAACCUAAGCAAAGAAAAAGUAAUCAUGUUUGGUUAUAAAUUAUACAAAAAAAAAAAAAUAAUAAUAAUAAUAAUAAUAAUUAAAGUUAAAAACACCAAAUUGCCAAAUAAAAAAGACCUUCAAAUAAACAUAGAGAUAAAAUAUGAAAAAAGUAUAAACCUGAAGUUAUUGAGGUGUUAGUCUCUGUCUUUGGGUAGAGAAAAAAUCUCGCCAAACUAUGAAUUUUUUUUGGUUGGUUGUCAAUAUCUUU
This 1075-nucleotide long non-coding RNA is filed under the name Olea europaea (common olive). RNAcentral's name for it is "long non-coding RNA (OEUR_LNC008690)". The record is from RNAcentral. Lineage: Eukaryota; Viridiplantae; Streptophyta; Magnoliopsida; Lamiales; Oleaceae.